This is a long non-coding RNA of Cryptomeria japonica (Japanese cedar), 555 nucleotides long. RefSeq lists it as uncharacterized. NCBI's taxonomy places the organism in Eukaryota, Viridiplantae, Streptophyta, Pinopsida, Cupressales, Cupressaceae. The record is from RefSeq and is a predicted model, not a curated record. The transcript is spliced from 2 exons.
AUCCAUUACGUUUUAAUGAAGGGACAUCCCAAAAUAUACAUCCAGGCCAACAAUUAAGUUUCUACAUCAAUUUUAGAUUUCCAUAUUCACUGAUCAAUCCGAACUCCUUACACCCACUUUCUCUCAAGUCAAAAAAAACACACAACAAAAAUGAUAAAAACAUUGUUAUCCUGAAUAUUUUAUCCUCCGAAUCGUAAGGGUUAAUUUUUCUAUAUUGCGAUGAAAUUGUUAAGUUAUAUGAUUGCGGCUUCCUCCAAAACCUAUUCUACGAUCACUCCUCUUCUGGACAGAGAUCACUUUGCCCAUAACUAUUUCCUACCUAGGGAGCACGCAAUUAUAAUACCUUCAUUUGGCGGGGUUGCCCUUCUUAGCUUAUUGUUGGUUUUCGUUGGGUUUGCAAUGCUGAAAGCAAAACAAAAAGCUUCAUGACGUAUGCUUGGAUUUUUGUAACAGCCAUUUUUAUUUAUAAAUUGUCACUCUCAAAUUUUCUUGCUGUAGAACUUUGAAAUAAAUAUUGAGCUAUUACAUAUUUAUAAUAAAUAAUAUUGGCUUUUA